RNAcentral lists this ribosomal RNA (548 nucleotides) under uncultured Glomus. Its description in RNAcentral is "SSU rRNA". It matches the Rfam family "Eukaryotic small subunit ribosomal RNA", at positions 548 to 1098 of the family's 1831-position model. The record is from RNAcentral. Lineage: Eukaryota; Fungi; Glomeromycota; Glomeromycetes; Glomerales; Glomeraceae.
UUGGAGGGCAAGUCUGGUGCCAGCAGUCGCGGUAAUUCCAGCUCCAAUAGCGUAUAUUAAAGUUGUUGCAGUUAAAAAGCUCGUAGUUGAAUUUCGAGACCGGUUUACUGGUCGUGCUUUUGUACGUACUGGUAUUAUUGGUUUCUCCUUUCUGACGAAUCAUAAUGCCAUUAAUUUGGUGUUUUGGGGAAUCAGGACUGUUACUUUGAAAAAAUUAGAGUGUUUAAAGCAGGCUCACGCUUGAAUACAUUAGCAUGGAAUAACGAAAUAGGACGUUUGAUUUUAUUUUGUUGGUUUCUAGGAUCGACGUAAUGAUUAAUAGGGAUAGUUGGGGGCAUUAGUAUUCAAUUGUCAGAGGUGAAAUUAUUGGAUUUAUUGAAGACUAACUACUGCGAAAGCAUUUGCCAAGGAUGUUUUCAUUAAUCAAGAACGAAAGUUAGGGGAUCGAAGACGAUCAGAUACCGUCGUAGUCUUAACCAUAAACUAUGCCGACUAGGGAUCGGAUGAUGUUAAUUUUUUAAUGACUCAUUCGGCGCCUUACGGGAAAC